This 1087-nucleotide ribosomal RNA is filed under the name Escherichia coli. RNAcentral's name for it is "bacterial SSU rRNA". It matches the Rfam family "Bacterial small subunit ribosomal RNA", at positions 1 to 1085 of the family's 1533-position model. The record is from RNAcentral. Lineage: Bacteria; Pseudomonadati; Pseudomonadota; Gammaproteobacteria; Enterobacterales; Enterobacteriaceae.
UAACAUGAGAGUUUGAUCCUGGCUCAGGAUGAACGCUGGCGGCGUGCUUAACACAUGCAAGUCGAACGAAGCACUUUAUUUGAUUUCCUUCGGGACUGAUUAUUUUGUGACUGAGUGGCGGACGGGUGAGUAACGCGUGGGUAACCUGCCUUGUACAGGGGGAUAACAGUCAGAAAUGACUGCUAAUACCGCAUAAGCGCACAGGACCGCAUGGUCCGGUGUGAAAAACUCCGGUGGUAUAAGAUGGACCCGCGUUGGAUUAGCUAGUUGGUGAGGUAACGGCCCACCAAGGCGACGAUCCAUAGCCGACCUGAGAGGGUGACCGGCCACAUUGGGACUGAGACACGGCCCAAACUCCUACGGGAGGCAGCAGUGGGGAAUAUUGCACAAUGGGGGAAACCCUGAUGCAGCGACGCCGCGUGAGCGAAGAAGUAUUUCGGUAUGUAAAGCUCUAUCAGCAGGGAAGAUAAUGACGGUACCUGACUAAGAAGCACCGGCUAAAUACGUGCCAGCAGCCGCGGUAAUACGUAUGGUGCAAGCGUUAUCCGGAUUUACUGGGUGUAAAGGGAGCGCAGGCGGUGCGGCAAGUCUGAUGUGAAAGCCCGGGGCUCAACCCCGGUACUGCAUUGGAAACUGUCGUACUAGAGUGUCGGAGGGGUAAGCGGAAUUCCUAGUGUAGCGGUGAAAUGCGUAGAUAUUAGGAGGAACACCAGUGGCGAAGGCGGCUUACUGGACGAUAACUGACGCUGAGGCUCGAAAGCGUGGGGAGCAAACAGGAUUAGAUACCCUGGUAGUCCACGCCGUAAACGAUGAGUGCUAGGUGUUGGAUCCUUUCCGGGAUUCAGUGCCGCAGCUAACGCAUUAAGCACUCCGCCUGGGGAGUACGACCGCAAGGUUGAAACUCAAAGGAAUUGACGGGGGCCCGCACAAGCGGUGGAGCAUGUGGUUUAAUUCGAAGCAACGCGAAGAACCUUACCAAGUCUUGACAUCCUUCUGACCGGUACUUAACCGUACCUUCUCUUCGGAGCAGGAGUGACAGGUGGUGCAUGGUUGUCGUCAGCUCGUGUCGUGAGAUGUUGGGUUAAGU